UGGGGAAUAUUGGGCAAUGGGGGAAACCCUGACCCAGCAACGCCGCGUGAAGGAAGAAGGCUUUCGGGUUGUAAACUUCUUUUACCAGGGACGAAGGACGUGACGGUACCUGGAGAAAAAGCUCCGGCUAACUGCGUGCCAGCAGCCGCGGUAAUACGUAGGGAGCGAGCGUUGUCCGGAUUUACUGGGUGUAAAGGGCGUGUAGGCGGAGGAGCAAGUCAGAAGUGAAAUCUCCGGGCUUAACCCGGAAACUGCUUUUGAAACUGUUCCCCUUGAGUACUGGAGAGGCAGGCGGAAUUCCUAGUGUAGCGGUGAAAUGCGUAGAUAUUAGGAGGAACACCAGUGGCGAAGGCGGCCUGCUGGACAGCAACUGACGCUGAGGCGCGAAAGCGUGGGGAGCAAACAGGAUUAGAUACCC
This 418-nucleotide ribosomal RNA is filed under the name uncultured bacterium. RNAcentral's name for it is "bacterial SSU rRNA". It matches the Rfam family "Bacterial small subunit ribosomal RNA", at positions 355 to 787 of the family's 1533-position model. The record is from RNAcentral.